This 912-nucleotide small RNA is filed under the name uncultured Cryptococcus. Its description in RNAcentral is "eukaryotic LSU rRNA". The stretch from base 626 to 912 matches the Rfam family "Eukaryotic large subunit ribosomal RNA", at positions 1 to 281 of the family's 3401-position model. The record is from RNAcentral. Lineage: Eukaryota; Fungi; Basidiomycota; Tremellomycetes.
CUUGGUCAUUUAGAGGAAGUAAAAGUCGUAACAAGGUUUCCGUAGGUGAACUGCGGAAGGAUCAUUAGUGAAUUGAAUAUGUUAGCGGACCUCUUCGGAGUCCCUAGCAUCAAAUCAUAUCCAUAACACCUGUGAACUGUAAGGCUGUCUUGAAAACGAAAGUGAUUAGAGCGCCUGCCCAUUUUAUACAAACAUUAAAGUAACAAACGUAGUCUUAUUAUAAUCUAAUAAAACUUUCAACAACGGAUCUCUUGGCUCUCGCAUCGAUGAAGAACGCAGCGAAAUGCGAUAAGUAAUGUGAAUUGCAGAAUUCAGUGAAUCAUCGAAUCUUUGAACGCACCUUGCGCUCUUUGGUAUUCCGAAGAGCAUGCCUGUUUGAGUGUCAUGAAAAUAUCAACCUUGACUUGGGUUUAGUGCUCUCGUCUUGGCUUGGAUUUGGCUGUUUGCCGCUCGAAAGAGUCGGCUCAGCUUAAAAGUAUUAGCUGGAUCUGUCUUUGAGACUUGGUUUGACUUGGCGUAAUAAGUUAUUUCGCUGAGGACAAUCUUCGGAUUGGCCGAGUUUCUGGGACGUUUGUCCGCUUUCUAAUACAAGUUCUAGCUUGCUAGACAUGACUUUUUUAUUAUCUGGCCUCAAAUCAGGUAGGACUACCCGCUGAACUUAAGCAUAUCAAUAAGCGGAGGAAAAGAAACUAACAAGGAUUCCCCUAGUAACGGCGAGUGAAGCGGGAAGAGCUCAAAUUUGAAAUCUGGUGGCCUCAGGCUAUCCGAGUUGUAAUCUAUAGAAACAUUUUCCGCGUUGGCCCAUGUACAAGUCUCUUGGAAUAGAGCGUCAUAGAGGGUGAGAAUCCCGUCCUUGACAUGGACUACCAGUGCUUUGUGAUAUGUUUUCAACGAGUCGAGUUGUUUGGGAAU